CCUCAGUCCCCACUUCCUUCCCUGUCUGCUAGUGCUUCCCUAAUCCUUUUCCUUUCUUCUAUCAUUUCGUCCAGCCUCCACGCACCUUAAACCUCCUGCAAUCUCAUCCUCGACGGCCUUAAGUCUCCUAUACUCCAUCUUGUUCUGUUGCGUGUUGCUUCAACCCUCGACCGCCAUUGAAGUUGAAGCCGUCUGUCUACAUCGCUGUUGAAGCUAUUCUCUCCUUCUCUGUUAAAGCAUUGCUUUCCUUCAAUCCUGGAUUGUUUGCUCUGUUUGGUGGGUAUACUGUAUAAAUAUGAGGAUCUGUGUUUUCUUUGAUUUGAGGAUUUAAUUCCUGUUUGCUUUGAUUUCGUCUGAGGAUGGAAGUCGUUGUGUUUCUGAUUAUGUUAUGUUUAACUUUCUUUGCUUUAAUUCCUGUUCGAUUUCAAUCCUUUGCAUGCAAUUUUACAUUUUUAAUGGAUAAUGCAAAAUGUCCACUGGUCCCGUCGAAGCUCUUUUUCAUGGUGAAGAGAGAGACCACUACUCUAUUCAUUUUUCUUGUUUCCCCUUUUCUUUUCUUCUGUUAAGAAAAAAAUAAAAAAAAAAUUCAUCCCUCUUAUCCUAACUAUUAAAAAUCAAACUAUUGUUGCCUCCAUUAAAUCUUUCAUCCUGAGUCGCUUUCCAUACUUCCCAUUGCCCUCAGUCCUCUUGGUCUCUGCAUCAAAUAAUGCCCAAAUCAAUAUUUAACUAUUUUAAAGGCUACAUUUUGAUUAAAGCUCAUUUUCGUAGUUUCUUAUCUUAGGACCCAGAGAAGAAAUGGAAACCCCAAAUUCAAAUCUGUUAAUACAAUUAAAUAGAUAUGCAAAUAUAUCAUUAAAGAAAAAUCCACAUGACAAUGGAAGGAAAUCAAAGAACAAAGCAGCACCUUUUUGGAAGCCUUCUUUUCUCUAACUUCAUACCUCUCCUGACACAAAUCUGUUAACCAUGCACCUGGACUGACCAACUGCACAUACAAUUAGAAGAAAAAAAGAUCUAAGAAAACAAACAAUCCCAGAGCAAGGGUAUGAAAAUAUCCGGUUCCCAGAGGGCACAUUGAGGAGACUUACAAGUAGAGUUUUUUGUAUCAGCUUGGCUCUUUUCUUAGGCCUUUCAUAGCCAUGAAAUCCUCUUCCUUCUCUUUGCUAGACAACGAAAUAAACAGCUUAGGCCAAACAAGACUCUUAUCUUCCUUCACAUUAUCCAUCAAAACCUUGCCAUUAUCAUCAAAUCCCAAUGAUCCCCUUGUUGUGUAAUAUCGAUCUUCUUUUUCUGGUGACAGUGCCGAUGACUUCCUAUUGUUCAUUGGCAAAUCAGAACUCCUAAAAACACACACAUACCAUAAUAAAAUCAGUGCUUUUAACAUAUUUUGCAUGGCUUGCUAGCAAUAACCAACAGGGAGAUGGAAUUCAAAAUCAGUUGUGAUCUGAGUAGGAUUACCCUGAUUUCAAACAGUUUUAGAAUUUCAAUUUUUCCCUUUUCUGUUUUCCCACGUUCUAUCAACUAGACAGGCUAAAACCCCACAUUCAACAUAAGGAAAACAUCCUAAAUUAUAAUGAAUCAUUUCUUAAGCAUACAAAUACUAACAAAUAAAGCUUACAAACAAAUAAACUGUACAUUUCUUAAGCAUGCCAAACACUGAAAUUUUCCAAAGCCUUGUUUUGUAAACAGUAAAACACGAGACAAUUGAAUAAGUACAACUCUAACAAAUGCUUCAAUGAAUUUUCCUCGCGCAUUCUCACAGAUAUAAGAAAUUUUCUUUACGUUGGGGAUUAAAGGUGUGAGAGGUUAGGAUUCUUACUUGAUGACACGAGAAGGAGAUUCCUUCUCGGCAGUGACAAUACGAGAUGUGAAUUUCUUCUUUGGCAAAGAAUCAAUUGGUUUAGAUUUGUUGGCCAAGUUUUGGUCUUUUUUCACUUUCACACAUCUAAGCCUCUUUUUGGUUCCCCAUUGCAACACAAAAUCCGUUUCUGUAGCUGUUUGACUCUUCUUUUCCUUCUCCAUUCUCUCUCUCUCUCUCUCUCUCU
RNAcentral lists this unclassified non-coding RNA (2042 nucleotides) under Hevea brasiliensis (rubber tree). The record is from RNAcentral. Lineage: Eukaryota; Viridiplantae; Streptophyta; Magnoliopsida; Malpighiales; Euphorbiaceae.